GACGAACGCUGGCGGCGUGCUUAACACAUGCAAGUCGAACGGGCCUGUCUUCUUUUUUGGGGGUGGGUUGAGUGGCGAACGGGUGAGUAUCACGUGAGUAACCUGCCCUUCGGUCCUGGAUAACCGCUUGAAAGGGCGGCUAAUACGGGGUGGUCCGGUUGGUCCGCAUGGGCUGGUCGGGAUAGAUUCACUGUGUUUGGUGUUUCGGCGGGGGAUGGGCUCGCGGCCUAUCAGCUUGUUGGUGGGGUGAUGGCCUAUCAAGGCGGUGACGGGUAGCCGGCCUGAGGGGGUGGGCGGCCACACUGGGACGGGGAUCCGGCCCAGGCUCCUGCGGGCGGCAGCAGUGGGGGGUAUUGCACAGGGGGCGGAAGCCUGAUGCGGCGACGUCGCGUGCGGGAAGGCGGCCUUCGGGUUGUGAGCCUCUGUUUCCGGUGGUGAAGGCCCUGUCCGUGUGGUGGGGUUGACGGUAGCCGGGGAUGAAGCGCCGGCUAACUACGUG
RNAcentral lists this ribosomal RNA (499 nucleotides) under uncultured bacterium. RNAcentral describes it as "partial 16S ribosomal RNA". It matches the Rfam family "Bacterial small subunit ribosomal RNA", at positions 28 to 507 of the family's 1533-position model. The record is from RNAcentral.